This 497-nucleotide ribosomal RNA is filed under the name uncultured bacterium. RNAcentral describes it as "partial 16S ribosomal RNA". It matches the Rfam family "Bacterial small subunit ribosomal RNA", at positions 28 to 507 of the family's 1533-position model. The record is from RNAcentral.
GAUGAACGCUGGCGGCGUGCCUAAUACAUGCAAGUCGAGCGAACGGACGAGAAGCUUGCUUCUCUGAUGUUAGCGGCGGACGGGUGAGUAACACGUGGAUAACCUACCUAUAAGACUGGGAUAACUUCGGGAAACCGUAGCUAAUACCGGAUAAUAUUUUGAACCGCAUGGUUCAAAAGUGAAAGACGGUCUUGCUGUCACUUAUAGAUGGAUCCGCGCUGCAUUAGCUAGUUGGUAAGGUAACGGCUUACCAAGGCAACGAUGCAUAGCCGACCUGAGAGGGUGAUCGGCCACACUGGAGCUGAGACACGGUCCAGACUCCUACGGGAGGCAGCAGUAGGGAAUCUUCCGCAAAGGGCGAAAGCCUGACGGAGCAACGCCGCGUGAGUGAUGAAGGUCUUCGGAUCGUAAAACUCUGUUAUUAGGGAAGAACAUAUGUGUAAGUAACUGUGCACAUCUUGACGGUACCUAAUCAGAAAGCCACGGCUAACUACGUG